RNAcentral lists this long non-coding RNA (3825 nucleotides) under Homo sapiens (human). RNAcentral describes it as "HSALNT0141058". Lineage: Eukaryota; Metazoa; Chordata; Mammalia; Primates; Hominidae. The record is from RNAcentral.
CCCAUGCAAUGUUGGGGUCAGAGAGUGUAGAGAGUGGUGUGGGGAGAGUGCAGGCUGAAGAGUUACCUAAGGUCAAAAUCCUGACCUAUGAGCCAAGCCAUCGAUUUGGGAUUUCUACUGAGGACACUGGAAGUCACUAAGAGCAUCUGAAUGGAAAUCGAGGUUAAGAGAGGGUAGGCGAUUUGCCUGAGAUCACACAGCCUCGUGUGUGGCAGAGCCUUAGAUUCCAAGCCAGGCUGUCCGAUGCCAGACCUUCACAGCUAUCCUAUGCUUCCACGGCACCCCGGACUUCCCCUUGGAGCACUUGCCAGUGAAACAAACAUGCCCUGGAGAAAUGCCUGGGUUAUGUGAAGUUGGCAGUUCCCAAGGGCUUUAGGCUUGAAGCUGUGGGUCAUACCCCUUCGGAAACUUGGUCCCCAAGAGAAAUGUAUGCUUCUGAAAACCACAGGUGCAUGAAUCGUGUUUAGUAAAUGACUACUAAACUGAAAUCAGGACUUGUCUAUAUCUUGGCUUCUCAAACUUGAAUAUGCUUAUCAUCUGGAUAGCAAAAGCAUUCCUACACGUUGAGGCCUGCCAGCGUGGGUGUCACCCAGGAGCCACUCGGAAAGGCUCAUCGGAAACCACCCCGGACUGACUGAGGCAGAAUCUCUGGGGGCAGGACCCAGGCCUCAGCAUAAAAACUCCAGGUGACGGAAGAGCUCCCACCUAACAGGUGUGUUGGCAUUGUUGUAGGUGACUGACGUAGUUUCCCAUCUCACAACUCUACCUCCAUGAAGAAAAGUCAUGGAAAAUUGAGACUUUGGGCUGAGUGUGGCUCAUCCCUGUAAUCUUAGUGCUUUGGGAGGCUGAGGUAGGAGGAUCGCUUGAGGCCAGGAAUUUGAGGCCAGCCUGAGCAACAUAGUGUCUCUUCAAAAAACUAAGUUUAUUCUUUCCUCUUUUUUAGUUUUUAUUUUACACGGCUCACUGUGGCUUUGACCUCCCAUGCUGAAGCGAUCCUCCUAUCUCAACCUCUCAAGUAGCUGGAAGCACAGGCAUGCACCACCACACCUGGCUAAUUUUUUUCUUCCUUUUUUAAAGAGACAGUCUUGCCAUGUUGCCCAGGCCCUGUUGACCAGGAAAAAAAAAAGUUUUUUUUCUUUUUUAAAGAAAGAAAAUAAAAGAGACUGAGAAACCACAGAAAUAAAGAAGCGCUGAUGACAAUGCCUGCUUGCUGAUGGUUACGAUGAUCAUAGCAGUGUGCAUUUUGUAUGCAUGAAGCCUGCGACUAAAUAAACGUGUGGGGAAAUAUUUGUAAGGAAAUAAGCUAUUAAUAAAAUAAGCUAAAAUCACAGUUGCUGGACUAUGACUGAUUUUUCCCCUUUCUCUCAUUUAAAAUUAAAUAUUUGUAUGACUUGUAUAAUAGAAAAAUACAUGUAUUCAAUCUUAAAAAGAUAUUCUUAUUUUACACUUUACGGGACAAAAGAGGUUGUAGGUUGGAAUGGUUCAGUCCCCUUGUGACAACUCAAAAACAGAGACCUUAAGCCUUUCUCAACCAAUGUUGCGGGACAAGCAGGCGUGUGAGGCGACAAUGCCAUUAGGGUAUUUUUUGGAAAAAUUUUAGUGUGAGAGACAAAAGCCAAAUUCAAACUGGCCUGAGCCAAAAUAGGUAGGAAAGGGAGAAGCGGAGACAGGGAGGAAGAAAGAGAGAGAACAGAAAGAAAAAGGGAGAAAUGUCGAAAGGCAAAAUUACAACACAUUUAGUUAAAUGAUUGAAUUGGUUUUUAUUUGUAAUUCAUGAAUUGGGGCAGCAUCUCCUCUAAAACUUUAGGAAAAGUGCUCUGAUGAGCUAAACAGAGAAGCUUGGCUUUAUAGGCAGAAAAGGGUGAAGAAAGCAGACACAGGGAACAAAAAGCAGAUUGGUAAGCUCAGGUUACUUCAGGUUACUUUCCUUAUAAAGGUUAAAGUAGAGGGGACUUCCUUAUCAUGCUGGCUACAACUGGCCUGUUUGGGGAUUUGCAUAUUAUCUCUCUCUGUCUUGAGUUCUGGGAAGGUCUGAUGACUUAGUUUCAGUUUGGUGAUAUGGAACUUAGCAUGAGUGACUCCAUCUUGGUUUGGUCUACUGGGGCCUCCUGCAGGAGCUCAGCCCAAAUCAGUGACCUCCUAUAAAUUUCAUUUAAUAGAAAAGGAAGGAAGGAAGGAAGGAAGGAAGGAAGGAAGGAAGGAAGGAAGGAAGGGAGGGAGGGAGGGAGGGAGGGAGGGAGGAAGGGAGGAAAGAAGGAAGGAAAGAAAGAAAGUUGCUUAUAAGUUGCUUAUAACUAAAAAGACCAGCUGGACCCAGGAGCUCUGAGGUUGCUUUCAGGCCUCUGUCCAUCUCUUAGUUUUCCAUCCUCAGACAGGCUCUGCCCUGCCUUACAGUCUAGCAUUGUUGGCCAAAGGUGACUGACUGGCCCAGCUUGGGCUAUAUGUCCUUCCCUGUGGCCAGAGAGAUGUGUCUCUGUGAUGGCCAGGCUUGGGUCACGUACUCCCUCCCCUACCAGAAUCACAUGAAAAGAGGGAGGAAGAGCCGCUUUCCACCAAAGGAAACUGAAGUGCUAUUGUCAGAGGGGUUGCUGGGCAGACCAAAAAGAUGACAAUAUCUGCUCCAAUCGCUCGGGUUGUUGGUGCUUGGCAGAUUUGCCCCUACGUCACUUUUCAGAUGUGGAUAAGACUGAAGGUGACCACAGGCUUCCGAGAGGAAAGCUGCCAAUGGGGGUGUGAGAGGAGGGGGAAUUCUUACUCACCAAGGUUAACACUGUGCACACUGUUCUCCGAGGAAGUGGGAAUUUCCACAUGGUGAGUUCCCUUCCCUGUACAAUGAAUUACUAUCUUGAUGAGAAACCCGUGGGCAGCUGGUUGAGAAGAGAAAGGUAUUCUCUGAAUGAGAGGGAAUUUACCACCUUCCUUUCAAUGGUGACAGUUUUUUCUGGUGUCACCGCAGGGUGUGGAUUGAUUCAUAUACAAAUAUACAUAUCUACAUAGAUGCCAUUCUGCUAGCCUCUGCAAAAUGCAUGCCUGGAGACCAUUUCUGCUGCCUAGGAGAUGUCAACUUUGUCACCACCACUCUCUCUCCACCACUCCCACACCCUGCAGGGGCCAGGUGUGUGGGUGGGGAGCUCCCCAGCUGGAGGCCAGAUUAGAGGUCUCUGUGUGGUGGGGAUGGGGAGGAUGGGGUGGGAAUGAGGUGGUAGGCCACUGGCAGUGGUCCAAGUUCCAUCCAGGAUCUGUCCUAGGCCUCUCCCCAGGCUGUCGCUUCCACCAUUGAAUUUCUAACCUGGAUCUCUAAGGUUAUGAAUAUCUCAUUCCCGCAUCCUGGGGUGCUCAGACAUGUCUCCCCUGAGUCUCUAGCUGGGCUCGUGGCUGUGAUCAUUGUCCUCAGAGUUCCAUCCUCCCAACAAAGGGACAGAAGAAACACAGGGCCCACUUUUCUGGAUUCUGAGUUGGAGCCAAGAAAUUCUAUCUGCUGCUUCCUUCCUGUUGAAUUAUCCCCCAAGGACCCCUUAGUCCCUCCAGUCUCCUCCAGAGGCCUAUAGCUGCCCCAGCUCCCCAUGAUGGAUACCUGGCUCUUUCCUACCCAGAGGAAAACGCAGGCCCUUCCCCAGCCCUGCACUGAACUCCUGUGAGUGGCUGAGGAGAUGAGGAGGUGUGAAGAGUGAGUGUGUUGGGGAGGGAGGGGUCCCCUGCCACCAGGUACCAAGGACUUCUGCCAGAUCACCAGAACUGACACCUGGUUCCACCGGCCAGCUGUGAAGUGUCGGCCCUGACAUCAACAGCUGACCUCCCACAGGGCCUAAGGAAACGGAAUUGUGG